Corylus avellana is the source of this 1848-nucleotide non-coding RNA. Lineage: Eukaryota; Viridiplantae; Streptophyta; Magnoliopsida; Fagales; Betulaceae. The record is from RefSeq and is a predicted model, not a curated record.
GUGGACCACAUUCUUCAUUGUGAUGUGGCUUAUGCCAUUUCAAUUGCCUUUUUCAGUCAUUUUGGGUUGUCCUAGGUCAUGUCUAGACGAGUAGUCGAUUUGUAUGCCUGUUGGUGGACCUCUGGCUUUUCGCGGAGUGCUGCAGUGUCGAAGAUGAUGCCUAUGUGCUUUUUUUGAUGUUUAUGGAAGGAAAUGAGUAAUAGAAGUUUUGAGGAUUGGGAUGAUAUUUUAUCUUUAUUCUUCAAAACUUUGUAUCUGUGGACAGUUGUUUAUAUGUCUCCUCUGAGGAUUAGUUAUAGUGAUUUCCUUGUUCUUUUUGCUACUCCUAAUUAUGUGUUUUCCUUUUGUAUACUUUCUGUGUACUUUGAGUCGCUUUACGCUUUUAAUGAUAUUUAUUGAUUGCUUAUAAAAAAAAAUUGUAACGAACGUUUCACUCUUGGCCAAAAGUGUGAGGCUCCAUAGUUGUUCCUCAUUGAGAAUACGCGGUUUGUGGAAAGUGAGAUAGCCUCUGAAUACCUUGGUUCGGUGGAUUGGCUCUCCAAUCAUUUUCCAAAUCUAAACCUUGAAGACAAAAUUCAUCUUGAGAGGAGGCGAGUGUUAGGCUCUAGCUAAUAGCUGGGAUAUGCAGCAUGGAAAUGCAGUGGACAAGUGGGGCUUGAUUGUGGGUGUCGGUGUGUGCUCUGUAUUGAGUGGCAGAUUGUUCAUUACAUCAGACUUAUGUGGGUGGCAUGGAAGUGGUUGUGUCUAAUGGAGGAGGUAAUUCCAGUUAAAUGGAAAGUGCAUUUAGAGCUUGUUACAGGGUAGAAGUAAUGGGGUAGUUUAUGGUGCCAUGUAUUUCAUGGGUAGUAUGUUGUGUCUUCUGUGUCCUGUGCAUGAGUGAUGCAUGUAUCGUGUAAUGGGUGGAUACGUGGUAGUGGGGAGAGGGAACCUGUAUACAGGGAAGGGAAAAAAUCAGAUUGAAUGUAGUAUUUCCAGCCCUAAAAGGAAUUUGUUUAGUGAAAUUCUCUUCUGUUUCUUGAAUUUUCUUUUCUGGUUCAUUAUGUGAAACUUCCAUAUCUUCUAUUCUUUUGCACACAGAUGUUAUUUUCACUUUGUGGAAGCUACUCAAAAUAAAAUAGAGAGUGCUCUCAAAGGUAGGGCGGUCCCUGUUAUUUUGUUAGUCCUUUCUUUUUUGGUAUGUUCCAUAAUAAAUGUCCACAUUCCAAAAUUAACACAAUUAUGACUCACUUUUUAAAAUUAGUACAAAAUAAAGUACCAAGUAGAAGGGUAGUUUUGGAAAGUGAUCUUUUGUUUAUGAGUCAAAGCAAUAAUUGAUGUUGCCUUAAAUAUUAGAAUUACGGAGACCAACAAAAUGGGACAGAGGGAAUAAAUGAAAAUAUGAGUGACAUUUUAUGUUUUUGUUUAGCUUUGCCAUCUGGGCCUGAUGUGGUUAUCUUGGUUGAGAGUGUUGUCCUCAAGUAUGUGUUAAUAUAGGUCUGUAUGUAUGUGUGUGUGUGUAUAUAUGUGUCUAAAACAUGUUGAAACUUUUAUAUCAUACUAAGUAGGGUAUUUCAAUAUUGUCCUUUACACCUGUGAUUUUUUGGAUUACAUUAAGUCCUGAUGUUCUUCCCUUUGAUUAGCAUGGCAAAAUCAUAUCAAGGGAGGAGCUUGAAAAGACUCUGGCAAACGAGAAGACUGAAGAAUUAGAGAUGACAGAUAUGGAUGAGGCCAUGGCACGAGCUGUUGACAUUGGUGAAGAUGAUGAUGAAGGAGAGGAUAGUGAUGUUGAGGUUGAGGAAGAAGCAGGGGAGAAAAUUACACGCAAUUGGAGUGUUUUGAAAAGUACUCCUGAGCUACAAAAAUCCAAGG